This 491-nucleotide ribosomal RNA is filed under the name uncultured bacterium. Its description in RNAcentral is "bacterial SSU rRNA". It matches the Rfam family "Bacterial small subunit ribosomal RNA", at positions 29 to 518 of the family's 1533-position model. The record is from RNAcentral.
AUGAAUGCUGGCGGCAUGCCUAAUACUAUGCAAGUCGAGCGGCAGCGAGGAUCUCAUCCUGUCUUGAAGCUUCGAGAAUAGAAUGAGAUCUGUCGGCGAGCGGCGGACGGCUGAGUAACGCGUGGGAACGGACCCCAAACUGAGGGAUAACGUACUCGAAAGAGUGGCUAAUACCGCAUGUGAUCUUCGGAUUAAAGUCUUUGGACGGUUUGGGACUGGCCUGCGUACGAUUAGAUAGUUGGUGAGGUAAUGGCUCACCAAGUCGACGAUCGUUAGAUGGUUUGAGAGGAUGAUCAUCCAGACUGGGACUGAGACACGGCCCAGACUCCUACGGGAGGCAGCAGUAGGGAAUCUUUCACAAUGGGCGAAAGCCUGAUGGAAGCAAUGCCGCGUGCAGGACGAAGGCCUUCGGGUUGUAAACUGCUUUUAUAAGCGAGGAAUAUGACGGUAACUUAUGAAUAAGGAUCGGCUAACUACGUGCCAGCCGCUGC